This 249-nucleotide ribosomal RNA is filed under the name uncultured prokaryote. RNAcentral's name for it is "partial 16S ribosomal RNA". It matches the Rfam family "Bacterial small subunit ribosomal RNA", at positions 524 to 772 of the family's 1533-position model. The record is from RNAcentral.
UACGGAGGAUGCAAGCGUUAUCCGGAUUUAUUGGGUUUAAAGGGUGCGCAGGUUGUUUGAUAAGUCAGUGGUGAAAGUCUGUCGCUUAACGGUAGGAUUGCCAUUGAUACUGUUAGACUUGAAUAUGGAUGAGGUAGGCGGAAUGUGUAGUGUAGCGGUGAAAUGCAUAGAUAUUACACAGAACACCGAUUGCGAAGGCAGCUUACUAAUCCAUCAUUGACGCUGAGGCACGAAAGCGUGGUGAUCAAA